Molecule: ribosomal RNA, 253 nt
Filed under: uncultured bacterium
Lineage: Bacteria
Description: partial 16S ribosomal RNA
Rfam family: Bacterial small subunit ribosomal RNA
Source: RNAcentral
UACAGGGGGGGCAAGCGUUGUUCGGAAUCACUGGGCUUAAAGGGCGCGUAGGUGGUCUGUCAAGUCGGGGGUGAAAUCUUUCGGCUCAACCGGAAAACUGCCUUCGAUACUGACAGACUAGAGGGAGGUAGGGGUUGCGGGAACUACCAGUGGAGCGGUGAAAUGCGUUGAUAUUGGUAGGAACGCCGGUGGCGAAAGCGCGCAACUGGAUCUCUUCUGACACUGAGGCGCGAAAGCUAGGGGAGCAAACGGG